This 368-nucleotide ribosomal RNA is filed under the name uncultured Desulfobulbus sp. Its description in RNAcentral is "bacterial SSU rRNA". It matches the Rfam family "Bacterial small subunit ribosomal RNA", at positions 1018 to 1382 of the family's 1533-position model. The record is from RNAcentral. Lineage: Bacteria; Pseudomonadati; Thermodesulfobacteriota; Desulfobulbia; Desulfobulbales; Desulfobulbaceae.
UGGAAGAAGUACUGGAGGACAGGUGGCUGCAUGGCUGUCGUCAGCUCGUGUCGUGAGAUGUUGGGUUAAGUCCCGCAACGAGCGCAACCCUUGCCUUUAGUUGCCAGCAGUUCGGCUGGGCACUCUAAAGGGACUGCCGGUGGUUAAACCGGAGGAAGGUGGGGAUGACGUCAAGUCCUCAUGGCCUUUAUGACCAGGGCUACACACGUACUACAAUGGCCGAUACAAAGGGCAGCGACACUGCGAGGUGAAGCCAAUCCCGUAAAAUCGGUCUCAGUCCGGAUUGGAGUCUGCAACUCGACUCCAUGAAGUUGGAAUCGCUAGUAAUCGUGGAUCAGCAUGCCACGGUGAAUACGUUCCCGGGCCUU